Misgurnus anguillicaudatus (oriental weatherfish) is the source of this 820-nucleotide non-coding RNA. The record is from RefSeq and is a predicted model, not a curated record. NCBI's taxonomy places the organism in Eukaryota, Metazoa, Chordata, Actinopteri, Cypriniformes, Cobitidae.
ACCUCCACUAGCGGGCAAGCGGAAAUACGUCACCUCCACUAGCGGGCAAGCGGAAAUACGUCACCUCCACUUGAAUUUAUGAGAUGAAGGUGGCGUCGCCGGGAGCUCUUAGUUCGAACUUUAAUUCAGUUGCCAGAUGAUAUUCUCCAGAGGGUCUUUGUUGUUCUAGAAGACGGCUGCUCUGCAAUCCGGCUGGCUUUAACAAGACAGAGAUUCAGCAAACAUUGACAGCCAGGAGCAUUUUCAGCAGGAGGAACACUUCAGCUGGCCUUAUAGUGUAGUGAAUUGAAAUAGACUGUCAAAGAGACACCGGAGAAUGUACAGAAAACCGUAAAUCAUCUCUAGGUGCAGCCGCCUACAGUGCAGCAAGUUUUCAAAGACUAUGGGGCUGGCUUCUGGGGAAAUGAACAACGUGGAGUGCUUUUGGGGUUUUACUCCUCAGAUGACCACCCUGGCUACUGGGAUUGCUUCAUAGACAGAAUAGUUUGUGCAGGCACAAUGUGUCUUUACUUUAACACUUGUGGUCACUUAAAGUUCAUGUAUGUUGUUAAAAUAGCAUAAGAUGGUUUUUGUACUUACUCAAAAGCAAUUAAAAUUGGUAAAAUUGUGGAUUCUUCAUUAUUUCACUUUAGCUGAUUUGUAUAUGAGCAAUUCCUUGCAAAUGUUAAACUUAUCAUAUGUCAAUAUAUACAUGGUUUAAAUACCCAUGCAAUGUCUGUUAAAAGUUUUAAGCAUUUUCCCCCAUACUUUGAUAUUUUCAAAAAAAAUGUCAUAAUUGUCACGUCUGUAAAUCUUUUUAUUCCUCAUAAAUGUGCAUACA